This 314-nucleotide long non-coding RNA is filed under the name Panax ginseng (ginseng). RNAcentral's name for it is "long non-coding RNA (PGIN_LNC009947)". Lineage: Eukaryota; Viridiplantae; Streptophyta; Magnoliopsida; Apiales; Araliaceae. The record is from RNAcentral.
UUUCAAUCAGAUUCAUUAACCAUAUAGAAAGUAUAUAUAAUUUGCUCUGGGCAAUAGCGCUUGCAACAUUUAGACAUCCAAAUACAUCACACCAUUUUCGGUGUUUGAGGCCCAAAAACUGUUUUUGUGAGUUAUAUAAACUUCAUUUCAAAUAAGUUUCUUUGACGAAUAAGAUUUUUAGGUGCAAUUGAACUUCUAAACGAAUUCUUUUGUAUAAUUAUAUAUUAUAACAAUUAACACUAAAUUAAGAACUCAAUAAAAUUACCAGAAUAUAGAGUGUCCAUGGUGAUCUAGACUGAAGAGACAGAUAUAAG